RNAcentral lists this ribosomal RNA (488 nucleotides) under uncultured bacterium. Its description in RNAcentral is "partial 16S ribosomal RNA". It matches the Rfam family "Bacterial small subunit ribosomal RNA", at positions 28 to 507 of the family's 1533-position model. The record is from RNAcentral.
GAUGAACGCUAGCGGCAGGCUUAACACAUGCAAGUCGAGGGGCAGCAUAAUGGAUAGCAAUAUCUAUGGUGGCGACCGGCGCACGGGUGCGUAACGCGUAUGCAACCUACCUUUAACAGGGGGAUAACACUGAGAAAUUGGUACUAAUACCCCAUAAUAUCAUAGAAGGCAUCUUUUAUGGUUGAAAAUUCCGAUGGUUAGAGAUGGGCAUGCGUUGUAUUAGCUAGUUGGUGGGGUAACGGCUCACCAAGGCGACGAUACAUAGGGGGACUGAGAGGUUACCCCCCCACACUGGUACUGAGACACGGACCAGACUCCUACGGGAGGCAGCAGUGAGGAAUAUUGGUCAAUGGACGCAAGUCUGAACCAGCCAUGCCGCGUGCAGGAUGACGGCUCUAUGAGUUGUAAACUGCUUUUGUACGAGGGUAAACGCAGAUACGUGUAUCUGUCUGAAAGUAUCGUACGAAUAAGGAUCGGCUAACUCCGUG